AAUUCGAUUAGAGUUUGAUCCUGGCUCAGAUUGAACGCUGGCGGCGUGCUUAACACAUGCAAGUCGCGCGUGAAAGGGCUUCGGCCCGAGUAAAGCGGCGCACGGGUGAGUAACGCGUGGAUGAUCUACCCAUGAGUUGGGAAUAACGGCUGGAAACGGUCGCUAAUACCGAAUACGCUCCGAUUUCAUCUUCGGGGGAAAGGUGGCCUCUGCUUGCAAGCUACUGCUCAUGGAUGAGUCCGCGUCCCAUUAGCUAGUUGGUGGGGUAACGGCCCACCAAGGCGACGAUGGGUAGCCGGUCUGAGAGGAUGACCGGCCACACUGGGACUGGAACACGGCCCAGACUCCUACGGGAGGCAGCAGUGGGGAAUAUUGCGCAAUGGGCGAAAGCCUGACGCAGCGACGCCGCGUGAGGGAUGAAGGUCCUCGGAUCGUAAACCUCUGUCAGGAGGGAAGAACCGCCACGGUGCUAAUCAGCCGUGGUCUGACGGUACCUCCAAAGGAAGCACCGGCUAACUCCGUGCCAGCAGCCGCGGUAAUACGGAGGGUGCGAGCGUUAAUCGGAAUCACUGGGCGUAAAGCGCACGUAGGCCGCUUGGUAAGUCAGGGGUGAAAGCCCGCGGCUCAACCGCGGAAUUGCCUUUGAUACUGCCGAGCUAGAGUCCGGGAGAGGGUAGUGGAAUUCCAGGUGUAGGAGUGAAAUCCGUAGAGAUCUGGAGGAACA
RNAcentral lists this ribosomal RNA (724 nucleotides) under uncultured bacterium. RNAcentral's name for it is "bacterial SSU rRNA". It matches the Rfam family "Bacterial small subunit ribosomal RNA", at positions 1 to 708 of the family's 1533-position model. The record is from RNAcentral.